GUAAGUGGUGUAGAUGAAACAAAUUUACCAACAAUAUUUUUUGUUGGAUUGUUUCACCUAUCGUUCCAUUUGCAG
RNAcentral lists this microRNA precursor (75 nucleotides) under Drosophila yakuba. RNAcentral describes it as "Dya-Mir-1010_pre stem-loop". It matches the Rfam family "mir-1010 microRNA precursor family", at positions 14 to 87 of the family's 93-position model. The record is from RNAcentral. Lineage: Eukaryota; Metazoa; Arthropoda; Insecta; Diptera; Drosophilidae.